GAUGAACGCUGGCGGCGUGCCUAAUACAUGCAAGUCGAGCGAACGGACGAGAAGCUUGCUUCUCUGAUGUUAGCGGCGGACGGGUGAGUAACACGUGGAUAACCUACCUAUAAGACUGGGAUAACUUCGGGAAACCGGAGCUAAUACCGGAUAAUAUUUUGAACCGCAUGGUUCAAAAGUGAAAGACGGUCCUGCUGUCACUUAUAGAUGGAUCCGCGCUGCAUUAGCUAGUUGGUAAGGUAACGGCUUACCAAGGCAACGAUGCAUAGCCGACCUGAGAGGGUGAUCGGCCACACUGGAACUGAGACACGGUCCAGACUCCUACGGGAGGCAGCAGUAGGGAAUCUUCCGCAAUGGUCGAAAGCCUGACGGAGCAACGCCGCGUGAGUGAUGAAGGUCUUCGGAUCGUAAAACUCUGUUAUUAGGGAAGAACAUAUGUGUAAGUAACUGUGCACAUCUUGACGGUACCUAAUCAGAAAGCCACGGCUAACUACGUG
Molecule: ribosomal RNA, 497 nt
Filed under: uncultured bacterium
Lineage: Bacteria
Description: partial 16S ribosomal RNA
Rfam family: Bacterial small subunit ribosomal RNA
Source: RNAcentral